GACGAACGCUGGCGGCGUGCUUAACAAAUGCAAGUCGAACGGUAAGGCCCUUCGGGGUACACGAGUGGCGAACGGGUGAGUAACACGUGGGUGAUCUGCCCUGCACUUCGGGAUAAGCCUGGGAAACUGGGUCUAAUACCGGAUAGGACUCCGGACUGCAUGGUCUGGGGUGGAAAGCUUUUGCGGUGUGGGAUGGGCCCGCGGCCUAUCAGCUUGUUGGUGGGGGGAUGGGCUACCAAGGCGACGACGGGUAGCCGGCCUGAGAGGGUGACCGGCCACACUGGGACAGAGUUGCGGCCCAGACUCCUACGGGAGGCAGCAGUUGGGAAUAUUGCACAAUGGGCGACAGACUGAUGCAGCGACGCCGCGUGAGGGAUGACGGCCUUCGGGUUGUAAACCUCUUUCAGCAUCGACGAAGCGAAAGUGACGGUAGGUGCAGAAGAAGGACCGGCCAACUACGUGCCAGCCGCCGCGGUAA
This 478-nucleotide ribosomal RNA is filed under the name uncultured bacterium. Its description in RNAcentral is "partial 16S ribosomal RNA". It matches the Rfam family "Bacterial small subunit ribosomal RNA", at positions 28 to 523 of the family's 1533-position model. The record is from RNAcentral.